AUGUGGGUGAGCCCACAUCUUCAUUUCUGAUACUUUGCUUUUACUUGACCCUGCGGUAAAUAUGAUAUAAAAAAUUAAAAAUCAAAGCAAUCAUACUAAAAUUCAGAAGAAAAUCUAUAAAGGGUAUAAUACGAUACAAAAUCAAAAGAAAUAUUUGGCAAGAUUCUGAUAUCUACUUUCUUUGUUUUGCUGUGUCAAUAACAAAAAUAAAUAUAUAUGAUAUUUUUCUCUUCGAAAGAAAUAUACAGCAUGUAAUUUUUUUACAAUAUUAU
Molecule: unclassified non-coding RNA, 272 nt
Filed under: Hevea brasiliensis (rubber tree)
Lineage: Eukaryota; Viridiplantae; Streptophyta; Magnoliopsida; Malpighiales; Euphorbiaceae
Source: RNAcentral